GGCUAACUCUGUGCCAGCAGCCGCGGUAAUACAGGGAGUGCAAGCGUUGUUCGGAAUUACUGGGCGUAAAGGGAGCGUAGGCGGAGCUACAAGUCAGGGGUUAAAGAUCCGGGCUCAACCUGGAAAGUGCCUUUGAGACUGUAGUUCUUGAGUAUGGCAGAGGCUAGCGGAAUUACCGGUGUAGCGGUGGAAUGCGUAGAUAUCGGUAAGAACACCAGAGGCGAAGGCGGCUAGCUGGGCCAAUACUGACGCUGAGGCUCGAAAGUGUGGGGAGCAAACAGGAUUAGAUACCCUGGUAGUCCACACCGUAAACUAUGAACACUAGAUGUCGGGGAGUUGAUUUCCCGGUGUCGGCGCUAACGCAAUAAGUGUUCCGCCUGGGGAGUACGCUCGCAAGGGUG
Molecule: ribosomal RNA, 401 nt
Filed under: uncultured bacterium
Lineage: Bacteria
Description: bacterial SSU rRNA
Rfam family: Bacterial small subunit ribosomal RNA
Source: RNAcentral